AUUUUGUUAUUGAUGUUUUCAGUUCAAUUAAUUAAAUCCAAGUAAAUGGAACACUCACAAGAUGUCACCAAAAUCACUGUCCCCUUUAAAUCUUUCAGAAAAUGAUGCAAGUGUAUCGAAUUAUAUCGAAUUGUAUCGUAUUGUUGGCUGAAUAUCGUGAUAUAUAUCGUAUCGUGAGCGGAAUAUCGUGUAUCGUAUUGUGAGAUUAGUGUAUCGCUACAG
This is a long non-coding RNA of Sander lucioperca (pikeperch), 222 nucleotides long. RefSeq lists it as uncharacterized. The transcript is spliced from 3 exons. Lineage: Eukaryota; Metazoa; Chordata; Actinopteri; Perciformes; Percidae. The record is from RefSeq and is a predicted model, not a curated record.